This 479-nucleotide ribosomal RNA is filed under the name uncultured bacterium. RNAcentral describes it as "partial 16S ribosomal RNA". It matches the Rfam family "Bacterial small subunit ribosomal RNA", at positions 29 to 507 of the family's 1533-position model. The record is from RNAcentral.
AUGCACGCUAGCGGCCGGCCUCACCCAUGCAAGUCGAGGGGUAGAAGGAGCUUGCUCCUUUGAGACCGGCGCACGGGUGCGUAACGCGUAUGCAAUCUACCUUGUACAGGGGAAUAGCCCAGAGAAAUUUGGAUUAAUGCCCCAUAGUAUAUAACCUUCGCAUGUUGGUUAUAUUAAAGUUCCAACGGUACAAGAUGAGCAUGCGUCCCAUUAGUUAGUUGGUAAGGUAACGGCUUACCAAGACGAUGAUGGGUAGGGGUCCUGAGAGGGAGAUCCCCCACACUGGUACUGAGACACGGACCAGACUCCUACGGGAGGCAGCAGUGAGGAAUAUUGGUCAAUGGUCGCAAGACUGAACCAGCCAUGCCGCGUGCAGGAAGACGGUCCUAUGGAUUGUAAACUGCUUUUAUACAGGAAGAAACCCUCCCACGUGUGGGAGCUUGACGGUACUGUAGGAAUAAGGAUCGGCUAACUCCGUG